This 1294-nucleotide long non-coding RNA is filed under the name Pectinophora gossypiella (pink bollworm). Its description in RNAcentral is "uncharacterized LOC126375438". The record is from RNAcentral. Lineage: Eukaryota; Metazoa; Arthropoda; Insecta; Lepidoptera; Gelechiidae.
CAUACUUUGGUAUUGUUAUUUUCUCUUUUGUUGUUGUGCUGCAUUUCCAGCGUAGUCGUAACUGCAGUCCCGUUAGAGGCUGUUCAGGGCGCGGUGUGCGACUGGAGGUGUGGUGAUUGUUUAGGUCCAUGGGGACCUGGUUUUAGUGGUAUAUGAUUACCUUGUUGAGUUGACCAAUGAUGGUCUGUUAUGAAAGUGGCAAAUGGUUGCCAAUGUUGACUUAUAACCGAGUAUUUAUGUGCCCUUGUAUGUGUGUGUAUAAUGAACAGUCUAAGAUACUUUUGUUUUUUUUUAUCAUUAGUUGUUGAUUGAGGCAUUCUUUCAAAUUGUUUACUCUGUGUGGUGAUGCACUCUGGAAAUCCACUUGAUGGAUAUGCGUACUGAAGUCUUAUGUAGAGUCACAAGUAGAGCUCAUGUAGAGUCACAAGUAGAGCUCAUGUAGAGUCACAAGUAGAGCUCAUGUAGAGUCACAAGUAGAGCUCAUGUAGAGUCACAAGUAGAGCUCAUGUAGAGUCACAAGUAGAGCUCAUGUAGAGUCACAAGUAGAGCUCAUGUAGAGUCACAAGUAGAGCUCAUGUAGAGUCACAAGUAGAGCUCAUGUAGAGUCACAAGUAGAGCUCAUGUAGAGUCACAAAUAGAGCUCGGACGAGUCCUUUAUAGAGUCUCAUGUCAGGUCAGGAAUGACCGAGCGAACUUGGAUACUGUGCUGUGGUAUAUUGUUUCAGAUUAACACACGAGGACGUGUGUCACGCAGGAUGGCCGUGUCGGCGUUAGUUAUGAAUUAAGAAGAGAAAUUGAUCAAAUCGGAAAAUAAAAUGAAGUUACAUCACUUCCGUUAUGAAGUUGCAACGCUCCGACGAAAGGUGGCGUACGGCCAGAGCUGCGUGAAGUCGAGGGAGUCACUACACAGUCGUCGUGUCGAGCGGACGUGUACUGCCGUUCUAGUCGGGCAGUCUACCGCGAACCAUCGUCAUGAGCGGACGUGUCGAAUGUCGAAUUACGAGGAGUGCUAUAGUCGCUCACCUAUAACUUGUAGGGACAUCAAGAAAGUGUGAUCGGAAAAGAGCACAUGUCCCGAUGAUUCGGUCCGAAUAUAGGAACCAUGGGUGGUGGAGGGCAAGUAGAGGGCGAGUAGCCCCUUCGCGCUAACGUCCUUAUGCGCGCUAGAUAACGAGAGACUGUGUAACCGUUACGAAUACCGUGACGUUGCCGUGAGUGUGUACCUUAUGCUGUGACUUUAUUUAAUCGUGAUACAAAAACUAUGUGGAAGUAAAUAAAAUGAUUGUGAUACUGA